GGUCCGUUGGAGAAGAGGUUUAACUCACAUGCCUUUCACGCAUGCACUCACGGGUUCGAAUCCCGUACGGGCUACCA
Molecule: transfer RNA, 77 nt
Filed under: Erysipelotrichaceae bacterium
Lineage: Bacteria; Bacillati; Bacillota; Erysipelotrichia; Erysipelotrichales; Erysipelotrichaceae
Description: tRNA-Glu
Rfam family: tRNA
About the family: Transfer RNA (tRNA) molecules are approximately 80 nucleotides in length. Their secondary structure includes four short double-helical elements and three loops (D, anti-codon, and T loops). Further hydrogen bonds mediate the characteristic L-shaped molecular structure. tRNAs have two regions of fundamental functional importance: the anti-codon, which is responsible for specific mRNA codon recognition, and the 3' end, to which the tRNAs corresponding amino acid is attached (by aminoacyl-tRNA synthetases). tRNAs cope with the degeneracy of the genetic code in two manners: having more than one tRNA (with a specific anti-codon) for a particular amino acid; and 'wobble' base-pairing, i.e. permitting non-standard base-pairing at the 3rd anti-codon position.
Source: RNAcentral